CAUAACCUCACAUAUAAAGCAUGCUGAGGUGGCGUCAGGUCAUUUCAGGCUCUUCUGUGUCGAGCGGAGGAGUAGCUCUGUGUCAAGCUUAGGGGACUGGAAGAGGCCGCAACCUUCCGCCUGCUGGAGGGUGGAGGAUGGAUGGAGCCUGGAGCCUAGGUCACUACCUUGCUGUGGUUGGUGGUGGCGAUAGAGCAGUAGGAGAGCGGUCAGCAGCAGGAGGACUAGAAGGAAGAGGUACUGCCACAUGCUGGAGGCUGGAACCUGUGCCACCAUGGCUCGCCUCGCUGUGGUUGGUGGUAACGUCGGAGACUGCAGCUCAGCCACGGUGGUAGACAUGUGAUGGGCUGCUCCAAGCCAGGCUGAAGGAGGAGAAGGAGUUGCCGCCUGUGGUACGGUCGAGCAGAUGACGUGGCUCUGCAGCUUGCCUCAUGCAGUUGGUGUUGGAGAUGGAGACCACAGCUCGACUGGAGCGGUGGUUUCCUAGAAACAUGAUUGUUUAUUGGCGUUGAUCUCAGUCUGGUGAGGACUUCUUUACUGAUAAUGUCAAGUUCAGGUUACCCUCCCAACCAAGGAGCAUUCAGCACAGAACAAAGUCGUUAUCCUCCUCACUCUGUAAAGUAUACGUUUCCCAGCACCCGCCACCAGCAGGAUCCAACAUUUGGAGGCAAACAUGAAGCUCCAUCCUCUCCAAUUUCGAGGCAACCGUGUGGAGAUGAUCAAAAUGCUUCACCUUCAAAACUUUCAAAGGAAGAGUUAAUACAGAGUAUGGAUCGUAUAAAUCGAGAAAUUGCAAAAGUAGAACAGCAGAUCCUUAAACUGAAGAAGAAACAAGUAAAAGUCUUUGCUUAUAAUAUUCUAAGAAUGUGUGUUUUUCUCCCUACAGAAGAUAUUUUUGAGUUUUCCAUAUUAUGAAACUGUACAUAAAAGGAAUCAUGCCUUAUAUAUUCUGGCUUGCUGUUUUUUGCUGCUAUUGUGGUUUUCUUUCAUUCAUUCAUUUUCCUUGCUGCACUGUCUGAUCAUAUGAUUGUAGAGAGUGAAAUUUGUCCAUUCUAUUUUUGAUUUUUUUUUCUAUUCCAUACACUGGUGCUGGUUUUUGGUUCACAUGUAGAGAUUUUCUAGGGCAUGUGCCCAGGAAUGGCAGUGCUUGGCCCAAGAUUAUGCACAGUGAACUAUUUAAUAGAUGACACCAAAUUUGCUAAGAAGUAACACCAUUUUACAUUCCCACUGGCAACUUACGUGGGUACUGGUUUGUGCACAUUCUUGCCUUUACUUGAUAUCAUUUUUUCAUUUGGAUAUGAAAUAGUCUUCUCUGUGGUUUGGAAGGAGGCUGAGCUUAUUUUCAUUUGUUUAUGGGUUAUUUGGGUUCCUUAUGUGCAUUGUUCAUGUCUUUUGUCUAUAGUCUCCUAUUUUGUCAUUGAAAUUUUUAGGAUUCCCUGAAGUCCCUUGUCAGGUAUGUGUAUAGAAGAUUUGCCUAGUUUGUGGCCUGUCACUUCACUUUUAGCCCAGUAUCCACUCUAAGUGUACACUAAGUGCAUUUUUUUUUCCACAUUUCGAGUCUCACUCUGUCACCCAGGCUGGAGUGCAGUGGUGCGAUCUUGGCUC
RNAcentral lists this long non-coding RNA (1605 nucleotides) under Homo sapiens (human). RNAcentral's name for it is "HSALNT0389071". Lineage: Eukaryota; Metazoa; Chordata; Mammalia; Primates; Hominidae. The record is from RNAcentral.